Molecule: ribosomal RNA, 433 nt
Filed under: uncultured bacterium
Lineage: Bacteria
Description: partial 16S ribosomal RNA
Rfam family: Bacterial small subunit ribosomal RNA
Source: RNAcentral
AACGAACGCUGGCGGCAUGCCUAACACAUGCAAGUCGAACGAGCCGUCCGGGACCUGUCGCGCAUGGGUGUGUAACGGGUGGGAACCUGCACAUAUGUUCGGACUACCUCUCCGACAGGGGUGCCAUUAGGGGAUCAUGUCUUCGAACGAAGGAUUUUUUGACCUUGGUUGGUCACGCGUUGAAUUCGCUAGUUCGUACGGUAAAAGCCGACCAAGGGGACGAUCCAUAGCUGGUUUGAGAGGAAGCUCAGCCACACUGAGACGCAGACGCGGCCCAGAAUCCUACGGGAGGGAGCAGUGGGGAAUAUUGGACCAUGGGCGGAAGCAUGAUGCAGCACUGCCGCGAAAGUGAUGAAGGCCUUAGGGUUGUAAAGCUCUUUUACCCGGGAUGAUAAUGACAGUACCGGGAGAAUAAGCCCCGGCUAACUACGUG